GAAAUGCGCAGAUAUUAGGAGGAACACCGAUGCCGAAGGCACCACUCUGGGCCGAUACUGACGCUGAGGAGCGAAAGCGUGGGUAGCAAACAGGAUUAGAUACCCUGGUAGUCCACGCCGUAAACGCUGGGCACUAGGUGUGGGUCUCUAACCAACGAGAUCCGCGCCGUCGCUAACGCAUUAAGUGCCCCGCCUGGGGAGUACGGUCGCAAGACUAAAACUCAAAGGAAUUGACGGGGGCCCGCACAAGCAGCGGAGCGUGUUGCUUAAUUCGAUGCUACGCGAAGAACCUUACCUAGGUUAAAUCAUUGGGAAAAGCCACAGAGAUGUGGUGUCCUUCGGGGCUCAAUGAAGGUGGUGCAUGGCUGUCGUCAGCUCGUGUCGUGAGAUGUUGGGUUAAGUCCCGCAACGAGCGCAACCCUUAUUCUAUGUUGCCAGCACGUAAUGGUGGGGACUCGUAGGAGACUGCCGGGGUCAACUCGGAGGAAGGUGGGGAUGACGUCAAGUCAUCAUGCCCCUUAUGUCUAGGGCUGCAAACACGCUACAAUGGCCGGUACAAAGGGCUGCGAAACCGCGAGGUUUAGCGAAUCCCAUAAAGCCGGUCUCAGUUCGGAUUGGAGGCUGCAACUCGCCUCCAUGAAGCUGGAGUUGCUAGUAAUCCCGGAUCAGCAACGCCGGGGUGAAUACGUUCCCGGGCCUUGUACACACCGCCCGUCACACCACGAAAUCGGUAACACCCGAAGCCGGUGGCCUAACCGUAAGGAAG
RNAcentral lists this ribosomal RNA (766 nucleotides) under uncultured Actinomycetes bacterium. RNAcentral's name for it is "bacterial SSU rRNA". It matches the Rfam family "Bacterial small subunit ribosomal RNA", at positions 683 to 1449 of the family's 1533-position model. Lineage: Bacteria; Bacillati; Actinomycetota; Actinomycetes. The record is from RNAcentral.